AGACAGGUGCUGCAUGGCUGUCGUCAGCUCGUGUUGUGAAAUGUUGGGUUAAGUCCCGCAACGAGCGCAACCCUUAUCCUUCUUUGCCAGCACGUAUUGGUGGGAACUCCAGGGAGACUGCCGGUGAUAAACCGGAGGAAGGUGGGGACGACGUCAAGUCAUCAUGGCCCUUACGAGUAGGGCUACACACGUGCUACAAUGGCGCAUACAGAGGGCUGCAAACUAGCGAUAGUGAGCGAAU
RNAcentral lists this ribosomal RNA (241 nucleotides) under Aliivibrio logei 5S-186. RNAcentral's name for it is "partial 16S ribosomal RNA". It matches the Rfam family "Bacterial small subunit ribosomal RNA", at positions 1032 to 1272 of the family's 1533-position model. The record is from RNAcentral. Lineage: Bacteria; Pseudomonadati; Pseudomonadota; Gammaproteobacteria; Vibrionales; Vibrionaceae.